Molecule: ribosomal RNA, 372 nt
Filed under: uncultured organism
Description: partial 16S ribosomal RNA
Rfam family: Bacterial small subunit ribosomal RNA
Source: RNAcentral
AGAGGGUGCGAGCGUUAAUCGGAAUGACUGGGCGUAAAGGGCGCGUAGGUGGUUAUAUAAGAGAGAUGUAAAAGUCCCGGGCUUAACCUGGGAAGGCCAUCUGAGACUGUAUGACUAGAGAGCAGUAGAGGUAAGAGGAAUUUCCGGUGUAGCGGUGAAAUGCGUAGAGAUCGGAAGGAACACCAGAGGCGAAGGCGACUUACUGGACUGCAUCUGACACUGAGGCGCGAAAGCGUGGGGUAGCGAACAGGAUUAGAUACCCUGGUAGUCCACGCCGUAAACGAUGAGAACUAGCCCGUUGGUUUCGUAAAGGAAUCAGUGGCGCAGCUAACGCAUUAAGUUCUCCGCCCUGGGAGUACGGCCGCAAGGUUA